UACGGAGGGGGCUAGCGUUGUUCGGAAUUACUGGGCGUAAAGCGCACGUAGGCGGCUUUGUAAGUUAGAGGUGAAAGCCCAGGGCUUAACCCUGGAAUUGCCUUUAAGACUGCAUCGCUAGAAUCGUGGAGAGGUAAGUAGAAUUCCGAGUGUAGAGGUGAAAUUCGUAGAUAUUCGGAAGAACACCAGUGGCGAAGGCGACUUACUGGACACGUAUUGACGCUGAGGUGCGAAAGCGUGGGGAGCAAACAGG
Molecule: ribosomal RNA, 253 nt
Filed under: uncultured bacterium
Lineage: Bacteria
Description: partial 16S ribosomal RNA
Rfam family: Bacterial small subunit ribosomal RNA
Source: RNAcentral